GGUCAAUGUGUUAUACUACCAGUCUCCUGAUGGGAGAGACAGGACAGGAGGUCAAUGUGUUAUACUACCAGUCUCAUGGGAGAGACAGGACAGUAGGUCAAUGUGUUAUACUACCAGUCUCCUGAUGGGAGAGACAGGACAGUAGGUCAAUGUGUUCUACUACCAGUCUGAUGGGAG
This is a long non-coding RNA of Oncorhynchus keta (chum salmon), 177 nucleotides long. RefSeq lists it as uncharacterized. The record is from RefSeq and is a predicted model, not a curated record. Lineage: Eukaryota; Metazoa; Chordata; Actinopteri; Salmoniformes; Salmonidae. The transcript is spliced from 3 exons.